Molecule: long non-coding RNA, 1947 nt
Organism: Oryzias melastigma (Indian medaka)
Lineage: Eukaryota; Metazoa; Chordata; Actinopteri; Beloniformes; Adrianichthyidae
Exons: 6
Source: RefSeq, a predicted model, not a curated record
GAACGGCUGCCUCUCUUGCGGUGAUUGGUCCGGCGUGUAUGACGUCACGAAAUCAUGAACGAUGAUAGGCUAUUCUGACAAAAAUGGGUGGGAACAGACACACGGUGGAAGCAUCCAGCCUUUCGCUUCCUUGGCCCGAAUUUAUAAAAUCUAAACGUGUGUGAUUUUCCGGAAGAAUUUCUCCCGUUUUUUUGGAUCAAUAUGCCCAGAAAAUGUGUUUUUGGUUGUAUAGGACAACAGAACUUUUUCUCCAUCCCAAAAGAUGAUUACACGAGGCAAAUGUGGGAGCAGUUUAUUUCCCCCACACAGCAGUGCCACGGCGAAGCUUUUGUUUGUUCACGACAUUUCACUGAAGACAGCUUUCUAAACAAAGCUCAGUAUGAAGCUGGGUUCUCGAAAAGACUGCUUCUUAACCCGGGGAGCAUCCCGACACGGACCGGUCAGGAGUGUGGGCGGCCGGCAUGUGUCAGGACCAAGGAGUUUGGAUGCCAAACUGACUUCAGAUUUCGGACAGAGUCAACUGCCACACAGCUCUCUCUGGGCACUCUGGGGCCACGUGUAAGGAGCAAAAGCACACAAAUCGGGCCUGAUGACUUUAGAACGCAGAGUUACGUGAGAAGCAGGACGUUGUCACAGUCAGCAACGUCAGAAUAUGGCAUGAAUCUUAGGUCAGCAAAGCGGAAACGCAUAGAAAUGGAGGAGGACUUUUCUAACACAGAAAGUGGUCAAGAGCCUGGAGCCUCAGUCACAGGGGCUUCAGUCAAAGAGCCAACACAAAUGAGUGACGUGGAGGACCCGUGUGACCACACCGAGACAAAAUACAUAGUCUUUGAGAGCUGCCUGAGAGAGCUGUUUGAAACCUGCUUACUUUGCAAACAUAAGUGUGAAGUGCAGCAUCAACGGCAUGGGACGUUCAUCUCAUUCACUCAGACCUGUCCGGUUUGCAACUUCCAAAGACGGUGGCAAAACCAGCCAGUUCGGGAAGACACUCCGGAUGGAGACCUUUAGGUUUUCAGCCGCUGUUUAUUUCACUGGAGGAUGUUUUGAAGAAAAAUAAAGAAGGUUUGCAAAACCAUGCAUCUUCUGGUGCAUGGGUGCAGCACAUUUGAGAGGUAUGCUUGUCAGUUCCUGGAACCUUCCAUCUACCACAAGUGGAAAACUGAUCUAAAAAACCUUCUCCACCAAGUUCAGCUUUGAGGACACUCUUGCAUCGUUUCCACUAAGCAGUCUAGACCGGACCGGACCGAGCUGGACAGGUAUUUUGAGCGUUUCUAUUUCAAAGUGGACCCAUUAAGCAGGACCGACUGGUACCAUUUCUGGUCCCCCGUUGGUUAAAGGUCCACAAAAAAAUGGAAUGGACCCGUUAGGGCGGAGCUACCGUCGUGACACAAUGUAACCCAUUGAUUGGCGGAAAGGUUUUACGACAACACCAAACAUCCAAUCAUCACUUUUCCCGACUCAAGAUUCAAACUGAAAGUUUUGUCCUCUUUUCGUCUGGAUUCUUCUUCGCCCCCACAAUCUUAUUGCAAAGAAUAAUUAUAAAUUAAUUACAGACUGUAUUCCCUCUUAUUCGCGAGAAUUGGGGACUGGAGACACGACCAAUCCACAAAUGCGGAGACACCCCCAACCCCCGUUUCCAUCUCACCCGACCCCCGCGACCGAAGAAUGUCCGUUACGAUCCAUACCCAUGAAAAACAUGUCGGAUCGUGCUUUGUAAAACAUUUAUUGAAGAACGUUGGCGUAUUGCUCAACAUAAGUCAAUUCAGAACAAUAGACUGCUCUGCUGCGUAGAGCCCCGCUUCAUCAAUAAUGAACGCCUGCUCUGGAUUAUAAUUAUCCUCUGUGGUUAUCUUUUUAAUUUUCCGUCCGUUUCUCAGUCAGCUGAUGCAGAUUCUCUUUCACUGUAGUUGAACCGUUUUGAAGCACAGCUACGUCAUCAGUAUAAAC